Long non-coding RNA from Anthonomus grandis grandis, 497 nucleotides. RefSeq lists it as uncharacterized. The transcript has 2 exons. Lineage: Eukaryota; Metazoa; Arthropoda; Insecta; Coleoptera; Curculionidae. The record is from RefSeq and is a predicted model, not a curated record.
GAUAAAGGAAAGCAAAAUAAAACAUCAAGUCAGUAAUGCCGAAUCAUGUAUUUCUGCUUCCUAAACUCAACAUUUCCAAUCAACAGACCGAAACUCAUCAGAUAACAAAGAAUGAUGGACUAUUAUUCAAAAUAAAAGAAAAUGUACGCCUAGAAGUCGCAGACCGGCGCCAAUAAGAGGUUUUCACCACUUAGUGGAUGCAACAGCUGUCAGGGCUUAUUGAAAGGAAAAUGGGUUAAAAGCAGUAAUUAUUUGCCAAAUUAUGUAUAUAAAAAUAGAUGAUCAAAGCUCCUCCAGAUCUAAAAACCGAGAUUAUCGAUUCAACUCUGGCCAUUUAGCAUCUCUGUCAGCCACUUUAUGAAUAUUCAGAGGCAUUACGAGUUGCAGAAAAUAAAGUAAGGAAGCUGUUGCAGAAUACGCCUAUUACUUACAUAAGCAAGUUUGAACGAAAAAUGAUGAUAAAAUGUAAAAUUAAUUAAUUUUGGUUUUUUAGUUUG